Molecule: long non-coding RNA, 1567 nt
Organism: Oxyura jamaicensis (ruddy duck)
Lineage: Eukaryota; Metazoa; Chordata; Aves; Anseriformes; Anatidae
Exons: 2
Source: RefSeq, a predicted model, not a curated record
GUUCUGCAGGGGCACUGGGGGCCAGUGAGGCUGGUGGGGGGAGCCCCUCGAGCUCACAGAUGUAAGGGCGAUGUGGGGGUUUGCUUCUGGGGAAACAAGGAGUCACGUUGUUCUCUGUAAUUAUUCCGCAGUAAGCAGGAAGGAGCGGCCGGGAAUCUGCAGGGAAUACUCCUCCGCAUUGGCCUAGAUAUGGAAUAGGUGGUCUGAUUUUUCCACCUCUAAUUUGCAUAGUCCUAGAAGAUAGCAAUGAAAGAUCGGAAAGCUUCCUGUCUGUUUCAAACACAGCACUUCCAAAAUUCCCGUGCUUCUCGGCUCUGAAAACGUGGCGUGAUGCAGUGCCUCCCCAAACUGCAGGGUUAGCAGAACCUGCUGAGCCUCAGCCUCGAAACGCCGCCUUGAUCCUUUUGAACUGCGUGUAAGGUUGAUAACUGUGACUGCAGUAAUUAGUAGCAAGUCUACAGAUCUUGAUGAAGUAUGCACAAGGGGCUUGUUCCUCUGCACUGUUCUUUUACCCUCCAGAGGAAUAAAUAACUGGAGGGAAGGGAAUUGAAAAAAAGUAAUGAAGAAGGAAAUAAAAACCCAAUGCUUAUUUCAAGAGCUGACACCUAGGAAUCUGAUAGACAUUUGCAAGAUUUAAGUGUAAAGAGGCUGCAUUAAAAAAGCUACUAACAGCCUGAUAAGAACACUGCUGUGCCGCGGAGCCGGAGCAGGAGGUGCAACAAAAGAACAGAAGUCAUCGGCUGAGGGCUGGGGAAAAACGUCCAGAUUUCCACCUGGCGUUCACGUCUGUGUCACACACAAAUAAAUGGUCACAGGCACAGCUUGCUUGUCUGGGGAGGCUCAUGUUGUGAACACUGACAGCAGUCAUGUGGAUACUUUUUUCACUCCAAAUUCCCAACAUAUUUUCCAACAGAGAGCAAAGGUUCCUUCUCCUUCCCCCUCUCCCCACUCCCUCUCCCUCCUCUCUCGCCUCUCCCCAUUUGCAGAACUGGGGCUGGAAGCACCAAUCCUUUCUGCACGGAGCUCAACAACUGCGAUGGCUUUAGGCUUCUGUAAACAUGGGUCAUGGAGCUUGUCUAAUUUCUGUCAGUGAGGAUGAUGUGCUGAGCAUUGCCCUGCUGGUCAGGGACUAAUAGGGAACAUCACAUCCCAUCACUGCCAUCAAAACGAGCUCUUCUUCCUCCAGACCUUCCGGCACUGCUUAAUUUGCUCUCGUGAGAGCUGAUGAAGACCUGUUACAUUCAGUUGUUCAAAAUAAUCUGACACCCGCCAUUUUGCAUAAACUUUCUUUUUAGAAACAUCUAUUCACAGAGAAGUAAAAAAAAAAAAAAAAAGUGAUUUAGGGUAUAAACUGCACAUGCAUAAACAUGAGGUGAUCUCCAAAGUCAUGAUGCUGAUUUUAAUAUGAUAAAUACAGAUGCACGAUUAUUUGCAGAGCGCCAUUCAUUGCCGUGUUCAUUUUGUGGAUCACAUCUUCAAGCUGCGCGAAGUGGUAGAGCUCCAUUGAGGCUAGUGGCAAUUUUCACCAGCUGAGGAUGCAGUGCUCUCUGUGAGGUUUUUAGUUUGU